Molecule: ribosomal RNA, 432 nt
Filed under: Hemigrapsus penicillatus
Lineage: Eukaryota; Metazoa; Arthropoda; Malacostraca; Decapoda; Varunidae
Description: partial 16S ribosomal RNA
Rfam family: Bacterial large subunit ribosomal RNA (bases 299-432)
Source: RNAcentral
UUGGAUCUUGUAUGAAUGGUUGGACAAAAGAAAAUCUGUCUUUAUAUUGUUUAUUGAAUUUAACUUUUAAGUGAAAAGGCUUAAAUAAAUUAAAGGGACGAUAAGACCCUAUAAAGCUUAAUAUUAAUAUUUUACUUGGUUAAAUUUUCUUGUUCAUAAAAACUUAGUAAUUGAAUUUAUUUUAUUGGGGCGAUAAAUGUAAAAUGGCUACUAACUGCUUAAUUUUUUAUACAUUUAUAAAUGAAUUAGGAAAUAAAUGAUCCUUAAUAUAAAGAUUAAAAGUUUAAGUUACUUUAGGGAUAACAGCGUUAUCUUUCUUAAGAGUACAUAUCGAAAGAAAAUUUUGCGACCUCGAUGUUGAAUUAAAAUACCUUUAUAAUUGCAGCAGUUAUAUAAGUAGGUCUGUUCGACCUUUAAAAUUUUACAUGAUUU